This 740-nucleotide ribosomal RNA is filed under the name uncultured bacterium. RNAcentral's name for it is "bacterial SSU rRNA". It matches the Rfam family "Bacterial small subunit ribosomal RNA", at positions 8 to 796 of the family's 1533-position model. The record is from RNAcentral.
AGAGUUUGAUCAUGGCUCAGAGCGAACGCUGGCGGCAGGCCUAACACAUGCAAGUCGAGCGCCCCGCAAGGGGAGCGGCAGACGGGAGAGUAACACGUGGGAACGUGCCCUUUGGUUCGGAACAACACAGGGAAACUUGUGCUAAUACCGGAUACGUCCUUAGGGAGAAAGAUUUAUUGCCGAGAGAUCGGCCCGCGUCUGAUUAGCUAGUUGGUGAGGUAAAGGCUCACCAAGGCGACGAUCAGUAGCUGGUCUGAGAGGAUGAUCAGCCACACUGGGACUGAGACACGGCCCAGACUCCUACGGGAGGCAGCAGUGGGGAAUAUUGGACAAUGGGCGCAAGCCUGAUCCAGCCGUGCCGCGUGAGUGAUGAAGGCCUUAGGGUUGUAAAGCUCUUUCGGCGGGGACGAUAAUGACGGUACCCGCAGAAGAAGCCCCGGCUAACUUCGUGCCAGCAGCCGCGGUAAUACGAAGGGGGCUAGCGUUGUUCGGAAUCACUGGGCGUAAAGGGCGCGUAGGCGGCUUUAUAAGUCGGGGGUGAAAGCCUGUGGCUCAACCACAGAAUUGCCUUCGAUACUGUAUGGCUUGAGACCGGAAGAGGUAAGUGGAACUGCGAGUGUAGAGGUGAAAUUCGUAGAUAUUCGCAAGAACACCAGUGGCGAAGGCGGCUUACUGGUCCGGUUCUGACGCUGAGGCGCGAAAGCGUGGGGAGCAAACAGGAUUAGAUACCCUAGUAGUCC